GACGAACGCUGGCGGCGUGCUUAACACAUGCAAGUCGAACGAUGAAGCCUAGCUUGCUAGGUGGAUUAGUGGCGAACGGGUGAGUAAUACGUGAGUAACCUACCUUUAACUCUGGGAUAAGCCUGGGAAACUGGGUCUAAUACCGGAUACGACCAAUCUCCGCAUGGGGUGUUGGUGGAAAGCGUUAUGUAGUGGUUAUAGAUGGGCUCACGGCCUAUCAGCUUGUUGGUGAGGUAACGGCUCACCAAGGCGACGACGGGUAGCCGGCCUGAGAGGGUGACCGGCCACACUGGGACUGAAACACGGCCCAGACUCCUACGGGAGGCAGCAGUGGGGAAUAUUGCACAAUGGGCGCAAGCCUGAUGCAGCGACGCCGCGUGAGGGAUGACGGCCUUCGGGUCGUAAACCUCUGUUAGCAGGGAAGAAGAGAGAUUGACGGUACCUGCAGAGAAAGCGCCGGCUAACUACGUG
Molecule: ribosomal RNA, 471 nt
Filed under: uncultured bacterium
Lineage: Bacteria
Description: partial 16S ribosomal RNA
Rfam family: Bacterial small subunit ribosomal RNA
Source: RNAcentral